Molecule: ribosomal RNA, 427 nt
Filed under: uncultured bacterium
Lineage: Bacteria
Description: partial 16S ribosomal RNA
Rfam family: Bacterial small subunit ribosomal RNA
Source: RNAcentral
UGGGGAAUAUUGGACAAUGGGCGAAAGCCUGAUCCAGCCAUGCCGCGUGUGUGAAGAAGGUCUUCGGAUUGUAAAGCACUUUAAGUUGGGAGGAAGGGCAUUAACCUAAUACGUUAGUGUUUUGACGUUACCGACAGAAUAAGAACCGGCAAACUCUGUGCCAGCAGCCGCGGGAAUACAGAGGAUGCAAGCGUUAAUCGGAAUUACUGGGCGUAAAGCGCGCGUAGGUGGUUUGUUAAGUUGGAUGUGAAAUCCCCGGGCUCAACCUGGGAACUGCAUUCAAAACUGACUGACUAGAGUAUGGUAGAGGGUGGUGGAAUUUCCUGUGUAGCGGUGAAAUGCGUAGAUAUAGGAAGGAACACCAGUGGCGAAGGCGACCACCUGGACUAAUACUGACACUGAGGUGCGAAAGCGUGGGGAGCAAACA